RNAcentral lists this long non-coding RNA (1631 nucleotides) under Fragaria vesca (wild strawberry). Its description in RNAcentral is "long non-coding RNA (FVES_LNC000814)". The record is from RNAcentral. Lineage: Eukaryota; Viridiplantae; Streptophyta; Magnoliopsida; Rosales; Rosaceae.
UGGUAUGUAACACAGCUGAUCACUGCCAUUGGAAUAAAAAGAUUAGUGAUUAGUGGUUUGCCUGUUGUUUACCAAGUUUAUUUGCUGGUAAAGUUUAUUUCUAGGGAAAAUGCCCUAAUGCCUAAAUAUUUGAAAACUAAAGCCCAUUCCAAUUAAAGUCUUAUUCUUGUGCCCAUUUCAAUGAUUCUUGAGAAAAAGACGUUAUUACCCUGUGUUUAAUUAAAUCCACAUAGUUUUUAUCUCUUUCUUCUUCUUCUCUCUCUCUNNNNNNNNNNNNNNNNNNNNUUACUUUACUUUACUUUCUUCUUCUUCUUCUCUCUCUCUCUCUCUCUCUCUCUCUCUCUCUCUCUCUCUCUCUCUCUCUCUCUCUCAUCCUCCUCCUCCGACACUAGCUGCCCACACAAGCACCGCUACUUCAUCUCCUCCGACCACCUUCUCUUCCCGAUCCACCUUCUACAGCGCCUAAUCACCCGGUCCCCGGCGCCGUCUCCGUCGUCUCUUCUGCCGCAGCCCAACCUCGUCGUCCCACUCGCCGGCGCUACCACCACCGUCUUCUCCCUCCUCUUCUUCCUCCUCGUCUGCUUCCGCAACUCCGACCACCUUCUGCAGCGCCCAAUCACCCGGUCCCCGACGCCGUCGUCGUAGUCUCUUCUGCCACAGCCCAACCUCGUCGUCCCACUCGUCGGCGCCACCACCACCGCCUUCUCCCUCCUCUUCUUCCUCCUCGUCUGCUUCGGCAAAAUCACCCGCAACCGCACAGCCCCGGAAACCGGCUCUAAGUUGCCUCAUCGCUUCUCCUACUCCCCUGGAAGGGCGUUGCUUGCCGGCGUGCGCCGGGGUCGGUGGAGGAGGCCGAUGUGCUCACCGUUGGGGAAGGUGGGUGCCCAGAGAAGAAAUGUGGGUGCUCACCAUCGGGCCGGUUCCUCAGUUCUCUCCUCUCCGGUCAGUAACCAAAAUUAUUAAGGGUCAAUAACUGAAAAUUAAGUGAUUAUUGGGUGUCAAUAACUGAAAACUAAGUGAUUAAUGGGUGUCAGUAACUAAAAACUAAGUGAUUACUGGGUGUCGGUAACUGAAAACUAAGUGAUUACUGGGUGUCAGUAACUGAAAACUAAAAGUUAUUAGGGGUUAGUAAGUGGUUACUGGGGGUCAGUAACUGGUUACUGGGUGUCAGUAAUUAAUCAAUAACUGGUUACUGGGGGUUAGUAACUGGUUAUUAUGGGUCAUUAACUGGUCGGUAACUGAUUAUUGGGGGUCAGUAACUGGUUACAGAGGAAAAUCCGGUGACCGGAAUCCGGCGGUCGGGGAAAAUUCGGUGACCGGAAUCCGGCGGUCGGUGACCGGAGUCCGGUGUCCGGCGACCUGUGACCGGAGUCCAGCGGCCGGUGACCGGAGUCCGAGGUUCCGGCCAAGUCUUUUCAUGUUGAAGAGAUAGGGGCAAAAUAGUUUUAAAAUAAUAUUGUUUGUUAAGACUUUAGUAAAGAUUUGUGCAUUUGGGCAUAAAGAUUUGUGCAUUUGGGCAUAAAAAUGGUUACCUUAUAUUAGAAUGGGCUAAUGCAAAAGAUUAUCAUUGGAAUGGGAAAUAAGGGGUUUGAAUUAGUACUAAAUAGACAUUUUCCUUUAUUUCUAUGCAG